GGCCAAGGGGCACCGUGGGACACCAAAGGGGGAAGUGACGAGCUCGUAGGCGAAGAGAAACGAGCCGCGGUGGAGCCGGAAGUCAGAGCCUGGAGCGGUGCUGGGGGCUGCAAGUCUGAGGUCAGGUGCAGGAGUCCCCGCGUCCUGGCACCCAGUAAUAAAGGGAUGGGAGCCUUCCAGUGAAUGGGCAGCAGGGGCUGCGGGUCGGGAGUGAGGGGCACCGGCAGAGCUCGGAGGGAGCCCAGGGCUGGGUACCAGGGGCUGCGGGUCGGGAGUGAGGGGCACCGGCAGUGCUCAGAGGGAGCCUAGGGCUGGGUACCGGGGGCUGCGGGUCGGGAGUGAGGGGCACCGGCAGAGCUCGGAGGGAGCCCAGUGCUGGGCUAGCAGGGGCUGUGGGUCAGGAGUGAGGGGCGCCCUCUCACUCUGUCCCAGUGCAGGGAUGGCCGAGUGGGUGGAGUUCCGGGAGCGGAUCCCCCGGGAGUGCCUGGAGGAGAUGCAGUUCAUCGCCUCUGGUGGGUUCGGCACCAUCUAUCUGGCUCAGCACCGUGACUGGCGCAUCCCCAUCGCUGUGAAGAAACUGAGCCGAGACACCUGCAGCCGUGAAGAGCUCCUGGCGGAAGCCCGGGCCAUGGACAAAGCUCGCUUCAUCUACAUCCUGCGGCUCUUCGGCCUCUAUGAGGAGGAAGAGGAGGGCUGGGACUCUGGCCCCCGGCUGGGCAUUGUCAUGGAGUACAUGGAGAAUGGCAGCCUGGCCGGCUUGCUGGAGAAAGUCCGGCCAGUCCCCUGGCCAAUGCGCUUCCGCCUCCUCCACCAGGUGGCGCUGGGCAUGAAUUACCUGCAUGGGCUUCACCCACCGUUACUGCACCUGGACCUCAAACCCAGCAACGUCCUGCUGAAUUUGGAGCUGCAUGUCCGGCUGGCAGACUUUGGGCUAUCGAAAUUCAAGCGAGUGACGACCAAGCAGGGAGCAGACAGCUCCGGGGAUAAGGAUGACUACGGGGGUACCCUGGAGUACAUGCCCCCCGAAUCCCUCGUAGACAUCAACUACAAGCCAACGCCAGCCACAGACAUAUACAGUUAUGCCAUCCUCACCUGGUCCGUGUUAAGCGGUGAACAGCCUUACCCAAAUCUCCCCCCAAAAUGCAUGAGCUCCCUGCUCCGAAUGCACAUCCCCCGGGGUCAGAGACCCGACAUGGAGGAGCUGGAGGAGGUCACAGGAGUGGAGGGCCUGGAGGACAUGAAAGAGUUAAUGAAGAGAUGUUGGCACAAUGACAGCUGGCAAAGACCCACUUUUAAAGACUGCAGCAACAAGACAGAGAAGAUUUUUUCCUGCCACAAGUCCCGGAUCGUGCUGGCUGUGCGUCAGGUGCAGGAUGUGCUGAUGAUGAUGGCCAGUUCUCCCAGCGAUGAGUCCAGACCAUCAGUAAGCGUCCCUACACCUGCUGCGGCUGAGAGCUCCCAUCGCCACACCUUUCCUCCAUCUUCCCUCCGGGUCUCAGAGCAAUUCCAGACACUUCGCUAUGAGGAUCGUCCAUCCAGAGAAAACGAAGCUGUGCUCCAGAGAAACAUAAGGCAAACGGAGCAUCAGCAAGGACCUGGUACCCCUCCGCCCUGCAAUGUCAGCAUGGGUCCCAGGCAGGGAGCAGAAGGACCCAAUAAUGGAGAAUUUGGCUUCCCCAAGACAAUCCCAUCACAGUUGAGACACCCAGACAAUCAGCCGAGGCCCUUCUUCCCCAGCCAGUCCCAACCACACCUCCCCACCCAGGGGCCGGAUCAACCCAUGUUCCCAUUCUGGCAACCGUCUCCGCAACCUGUCCAUGGGUUCUCAGAGAAACCAGGGGCCCGCUGGCAUCGCCCUGCCAAUAAGGAGAAUAACAUCAGUGAUUGAUAUUACCCAGUCCGGCCUGUCCUGCUGAGAUCUCACAUUGCAUCUGGGACAGGUAUUCUCUGCUGCUGAAAGCCCAGCUCUUUCCGCCAAACAGAACCAGCCUGGAAAUGGAUGGGCAGAGAGAAAAAUCUAGAGCUGGGCAAAAUGAGCCCUUCUCGGCACCUGCUCCAGCUGAGAUUCCUCUUUCUGGGACAGGGCUGCCCAGAACUCUGCACCGGAUUCCAGCUGAGCUCUGCCCGGUGCCUUCUCCUCUGGCAUUAAACCCUCCCUCUCUACUGGAGACACCUCGGCUGCUCCAUCCCAGAACCGUAUUGGCCUUUCUCCCGGACACAUCCCGUUUGUGGCCCAUGGUCAUCCUGCAAUCCACUGACACACCAAAGUCUCCCUCCUCCUCUGUCGCUUCCAGCUGAUGAGCCCCCAGCUCAGAGCAGGAAUUUUCUUCUUACUUGUCCCUAUUUGCGUGAGCCCAUGUUAAAUUUCAGCCCGUUUCCACCAGCGCCUUGCAGAAGGGCACGAACACUGGCGAUACCUCUCCAGAGAUGUCCUAGAUGUCGGGAUCCCUGGCUGGGCUGCAUCUCCCAUGAUGCCCCAGGGGCUCCCCUCUUGGGGCAGUGCAGCAUGGGAGGGGCACGGCCAUGGUGGUUUCCAUCAGCUCCUUGCCCUGGAGCAGCUUGCUGCUGGCUGGCGGCUCUGGGUGGGGGGAUAUUUACCUGGAACCCUGAUUUCUUGGCGUGGGGGUUGCUGGCCCACAGCAUGGUGGUGGGGUCAUAAUUAGGGUUGCCAGCCCUCCAGGAUUGUCCUGGAGUCUCCAGGAAUUAAAGAUUAAUCUUGAAUUAAAGAUUAUGUCAGAAGAUGAAACCUCCAGAAAUAUGCCCAACCAAAAUUGGCAACCCUAGUCGUAAUGCCAGCACUGUUCUCUGCAUGUGCCGUCCCUCACCACCUCCUGCAGCCUGUCAGUGGUGGUGUUCGCUCCGGUCCG
Terrapene triunguis (Three-toed box turtle) is the source of this 2867-nucleotide RNA transcript. It is a transcript of the gene named receptor-interacting serine/threonine-protein kinase 3-like, with no coding region annotated. The record is from RefSeq and is a predicted model, not a curated record. NCBI's taxonomy places the organism in Eukaryota, Metazoa, Chordata, Testudines, Emydidae. The transcript is spliced from 13 exons.